CAAACAAGUGCAGCCAUUUCACCAGCCCAGGCUGGCUUCUGCUGUUGACUGGCUGUGGCACCUCAAGCAGCCCCUUUCCCCUCUAGCCUCAGUUUAUCACCGCAAGAGCUACCAUUCAUCUAGCACAACCUGACCAUCCUCACACUGGUCAGUUCCAACCUUCCCAGGAAUCUUCUGUGGCCAUGUUCACUCUGGUUUUACAGAACAGAGAACAGAAGCUCAGAGAAGUGAAGCAACUUGCCCAGCUAUGAGAGACAGAGCCAGGAUUUGAAACCAGAUGAGGACGCUGAGGCCCAGAGAGGGAAAGCCACUUGCCUAGGGACACACAGCGGGGAGAGGUGGAGCAGGGCCUCUAUUUCGAGACCCCUGACUCCACACCUGGUGUUUGUGCCAAGACCCCAGGCUGCCUCCCAGGUCCUCUGGGACAGCCCCUGCCUUCUACCAGG
This 446-nucleotide small RNA is filed under the name Pan troglodytes (chimpanzee). Its description in RNAcentral is "processed transcript". Lineage: Eukaryota; Metazoa; Chordata; Mammalia; Primates; Hominidae. The record is from RNAcentral.